RNAcentral lists this ribosomal RNA (775 nucleotides) under uncultured Gemmatimonadota bacterium. RNAcentral describes it as "bacterial SSU rRNA". It matches the Rfam family "Bacterial small subunit ribosomal RNA", at positions 62 to 829 of the family's 1533-position model. Lineage: Bacteria; Pseudomonadati; Gemmatimonadota. The record is from RNAcentral.
UCGAGGGCGUGGGGUAACCCACGACCGGCGAACGGGUGCGUAACACGUGAGCGACCUGCCUUCCCGCGGGGGAUAGCCGGCCCAACGGCCGGGUAAUACCGCAUACGCUCGGUUGGGGGCAUAUCUGACCGAGGAAACUUCCGGGGCGGGGAGAGGGGCUCGCGGCCUAUCAGCUAGUUGGCGGGGUAACGGCCCACCAAGGCGGUGACGGGUAGCUGGUCUGAGAGGAUGGCCAGCCACAUUGGGACUGAGAGACGGCCCAGACUCCUACGGGAGGCAGCAGUGGGGAAUCUUGCGCAAUGGGAGCAAUCCUGACGCAGCGACGCCGCGUGGGGGAGGAAGGGCUUCNGCUCGUAAACCCCUGUUGCCCGGGGCGAACCUCGGCUUUCGAGCCGACUGACGGUACCGGGUGAGGAAGCACCGGCUAACUCCGUGCCAGCAGCCGCGGUAAUACGGAGGGUGCGAGCGUUGUCCGGAAUCACUGGGCGUAAAGGGCGCGUAGGCGGCAGGCCAAGCGUGUGGUGAAAGCCCGGGGCUCAACCCCGGGUCGGCCAUGCGGACUGGCGUGCUUGAGCACUGUAGGGGCGGGUGGAAUUCCGGGUGUAGCGGUGGAAUGCGUAGAGAUCCGGAAGAACACCGGUGGCGAAGGCGGCCCGCUGGGCAGGAAGAUGGAGCAAUCCAUCGGCUGACGCUGAGGCGCGACAGCGUGGGGAGCAAACAGGAUUAGAUACCCUGGUAGUCCACGCCGUAAACGAUGGGCACUAGGUGCUUGGGG